UGGGGUAUCGCCAAGCGGUAAGGCACCGGUUUUUGAUACCGGCAUUCCCUGGUUCGAAUCCAGGUACCCCAGCCAU
RNAcentral lists this transfer RNA (76 nucleotides) under Klebsiella pneumoniae subsp. pneumoniae KpQ3. RNAcentral describes it as "tRNA-Gln". It matches the Rfam family "tRNA". From Rfam's summary of the family: Transfer RNA (tRNA) molecules are approximately 80 nucleotides in length. Their secondary structure includes four short double-helical elements and three loops (D, anti-codon, and T loops). The record is from RNAcentral. Lineage: Bacteria; Pseudomonadati; Pseudomonadota; Gammaproteobacteria; Enterobacterales; Enterobacteriaceae.